GCAAGUCGGGGGGCAGCAUGGUCUUAGCUUGCUAAGACUGAUGGCGACCGGCGCACGGGUGAGUAACACGUAUCCAACCUGCCGUCUACUCUUGGACAGCCUUCUGAAAGGAAGAUUAAUACAAGAUGGCAUCAUGAGUCCACAUGUUCACAUGAUUAAAGGUAUUCCGGUAGACGAUGGGGAUGCGUUCCAUUAGAUAGUAGGCGGGGUAACGGCCCACCUAGUCUUCGAUGGAUAGGGGUUCUGAGAGGAAGGUCCCCCACAUUGGAACUGAGACACGGUCCAAACUCCUACGGGAGGCAGCAGUGAGGAAUAUUGGUCAAUGGGCGAGAGCCUGAACCAGCCAAGUAGCGUGAAGGAUGACUGCCCUAUGGGUUGUAAACUUCUUUUAUAAAGGAAUAAAGUCGGGUAUGCAUACCCGUUUGCAUGUACUUUAUGAAUAAGGAUCGGCUAACUCCGUGCCAGCAGCCGCGGUAAUACGGAGGAUCCGAGCGUUAUCCGGAUUUAUUGAGUUUAAAGGGAGCGUAGAUGGAUGUUUAAGUCAGUUGUGAAAGUUUGCGGCUCAACCGUAAAAUUGCAGUUGAUACUGGAUAUCUUGAGUGCAGUUGAGGCAGGCGGAAUUCGUGGUGUAGCGGUGAAAUGCUUAGAUAUCACGAAGAACUCCGAUUGCGAAGGCAGCCUGCUAAGCUGCAACUGACAUUGAGGCUCGAAAGUGUGGGUAUCAAACAGGAUUAGAUACCCUGGUAGUCCACACGGUAAACGAUGAAUAC
Molecule: ribosomal RNA, 770 nt
Filed under: uncultured organism
Description: bacterial SSU rRNA
Rfam family: Bacterial small subunit ribosomal RNA
Source: RNAcentral